GCCGCCUACCGGAUUUAAUUGCUCUUUCGAUUCGGAGCCACCCCCCCUCCCUUUAAAUCUGGAGAACGCCGAAAAAUGUGUACUACGCCGCAGUCAUAAAUACUUGUUGAACUUGUUUAAAUUAUGUUUCUCACUGUCGUAUAAAAUGUAGGUGUGUGUAUGUAAUAUUAUGUCUAAGUGGUACAUUCGGCUUGCCCGAAUGGAUAACGGAGAUUUUGCUGGAUCGCGUUUUUCAUUUCGUUGGACCACAGCAAUACGUCACCGCACUUUUGAAUGUCGGUACGCGUAUCGCGAUAAAUCGAUUGUAAUCGGAAUACCGAAAAAACAUACGACUCGAACCCCGUCAUUCACGGACCGAUAACGAACCACGAUUAUGAUAAAAUGUAGUAGACAAUAAAAUCUAAAAAAAAUACAAAUACAUCGCGCUACAUACGAAUAACCGUGUUUUAACGGGCUACAAAAAAAAAACACCCUCGUCGAGGCUAUUAACUUAAUUUGUUCGUAAAAGUUCCUACGGACCUACGGAUCGCCC
Non-coding RNA from Cinara cedri, 532 nucleotides. NCBI's taxonomy places the organism in Eukaryota, Metazoa, Arthropoda, Insecta, Hemiptera, Aphididae. The record is from the annotation of a GenBank genome assembly.